CCCAGCAACUGCAAUAGGACAAGGAAACAUACUACCACUAGACCCAGCACCAGCAAUAGGACAAGGAAACACACUACCACUAGACCCAGCACCAGCAAUAGGACUAGGAAACACACUACCACUAGACCCAGCACCAGCAAUAGGACUAGGAAACAAACUACCACUAGACCCAGCACCAGCAAUAGGACAAGUAAACACACUACCACUAGACCCAGCUCUAGCAAUAGGACAAGGAAACACACUACCACUAGACCUAGCACCAGCAAUAGGACAAGGAAACACACUACCACUAGACCCAGCACCAGCAAUAGGACAAGGAAACACACUACCACUAGACACAGCACCAGCAAUAGGACAAGGAAACACACUACCACUAGACCCAGCACCAGCAAUAGGACAAGGAAACACACUACCACUAGACCAGCACCAGCAAUAGGACAAGGAAGUGCACUACCACUAGACCCAGCACCAGCAAUAGGACAAGGAAACACACUACCACUAGACCGAGCUCCAGCAAUAGGACAAGGAUCAGCGCAACCGCAGCCACUAGAUCAAGCACCUGGAACAAGACCAGCACAGUCGGAUCCCUGUAUGGGUGUCCGGUGUCCACGCGGCCAGCUCUGCCGCAGCAUCAGAUGCCUGACCCCCCAGACCUGCACACCCCAGGCUGAGUGUGUCCGUAAAGUGAGACGAGGACUUUGCCCGGUAACUGUGUAUCACCCCCAGGGCACUGUGGUGUGCGGUCGAUAUCAGGAAUGUACUUUCGACUAUCAGUGCCCGGGAAAUCUGAAAUGUUGUGGUCCUUGCAAAGUCUGCCAACACCCAGUUGUGGUCCAUUCUAAAUACGUGUUUCUAGGUUGAGUAACACCUGACAUCCAACACACCACUGGUGCAGACGGAACACGUCUGUGUAGCGGCAACUUCUGGAUCACGGUGUAUUUAGCAGGUAGUGAAGCUAGAAGGAUGAGAGUGGCUAGUUGUUCAUGAGACUUUCUCCUGUGUAGCCGUCUAUAACCAGGACACUGCCGCAGCCCCAGGAUGAGGAUAUGAAGUGACUGCGUAAUAACCCGUUGCUAUGCAACACAAGAAUGUUUGUUAUUAGUAUGUUUUCAAAACUAUGAAAAAAUGUCAUCAACCCCCAAGUAAGAGAUUAUCACUAUGAAUGUAUUACCUGUGUUAAGUAUUAUUGGUGUUUUAUUUACUACUGAAUAAAAGUGAAUUUGUCAACAAACGUGUCGGUCGGUCCAUCUGCAUCUGACAAUUACUUAUACCACGACAAGAUCGUAGCAAACACACAUCCAUCUGUCUGUCUAUAGACAUAUAGACACCUGCAACAAGAACGUUAAAAACACAAGUUCGUCUGUCUGUAUGCCUCUGGCACCUAUACAUGUCCAAUAGCAGUGUAACCUAACUUCCUAACCGGCAGCAACUGUCAUAGAGUCAUUGACGGAUAAUCCCUCACCGGAAAUAAAAACUGGGAAUAUAUGGUAUAUGGAUUUGCACCUUACAGCAUACUAGUAAUGAAAAACGUUUGAGUAACAAUGAUAUAUGUUGUCCUGAAGUUUUCAACGACAGUUUUUGCACGGAACUGUACCUCAGAACAACAGGCACAAUGACAGGAGGAGCACAACUCGGUCAACUUGGCGGGGUCACUUUUUCCUUUUAUUGACGUAGUGAAUUCAGUGGCAGGGUAUGUUCUGAUUGACAUUUACUGAACGAUAUGAGGUCAGGAAUAUAUCUGAAGAUUCACCUUCUCAGCCAGAUUACAUUGGCUUUGAUGUUCCCAGUCAUUGCAGCAAGUCCAGUUAUACCGAUAUAGAAAACAAUGGCUAGGAAGGGAGCACAACUGUUCGCAGAGAAGGGAGGACAAUUGUUGGCAGAGAAGGGAGCACAAUUGUUGGUAGAGAAGGGAGCACAACUGUUCGCAGAGAAGGGAGGACAAUUGUUGGCAGAGAAGGGAGCACAAUUGUUGGUAGAGAAGGGAGCACAAUUGUUGGUAGAGAAGGGAGCACAAUUGUUCGCAGAGAAGGGAGGACAAUUGUUGGCAGAGAAGGGAGCACAAUUCUUGG
RNAcentral lists this long non-coding RNA (2069 nucleotides) under Haliotis rubra (blacklip abalone). Its description in RNAcentral is "uncharacterized LOC124281294". Lineage: Eukaryota; Metazoa; Mollusca; Gastropoda; Lepetellida; Haliotidae. The record is from RNAcentral.